ACUUGCACGUUGCUUUCAAUUUGCACCUUGAAAUUUUUAUUUUUAUUUUUGGGAAAAUUAAGGAUACAAACUUUUUCUUUUCACAAAUUUCCAAAAAAACAAUUCAGGGUGCAAAUUGAAAGCAACGUACAUAGAGU
Molecule: microRNA precursor, 137 nt
Filed under: Prunus dulcis (almond)
Lineage: Eukaryota; Viridiplantae; Streptophyta; Magnoliopsida; Rosales; Rosaceae
Description: sRNA ncRNA
Source: RNAcentral